CGGGUGCUGCGAGUCCCGUCAGGCCACAUUAUCCCUGGGGCCAAUAUCGACACCUAGGGAGCUGUCCCUGCCGGACCCGUGGGUCCGGUAUAUGGCGCCCACCUGCUAAGGCAGGCCACGGUGGAUAAAUCGCCAACGAUCUUGUGGCUCCGUU
RNAcentral lists this non-coding RNA (154 nucleotides) under Rhodospirillales bacterium. Its description in RNAcentral is "6S RNA". It matches the Rfam family "6S / SsrS RNA". From Rfam's summary of the family: E. coli 6S RNA was the first non coding RNA to be sequenced, but its function was unknown until recently. It consists of 184 nucleotides that fold into an extended hairpin structure with a large single-stranded internal bulge. The record is from RNAcentral. Lineage: Bacteria; Pseudomonadati; Pseudomonadota; Alphaproteobacteria; Rhodospirillales.